This 222-nucleotide long non-coding RNA is filed under the name Elaeis guineensis (African oil palm). Its description in RNAcentral is "long non-coding RNA (EGUI_LNC043082)". Lineage: Eukaryota; Viridiplantae; Streptophyta; Magnoliopsida; Arecales; Arecaceae. The record is from RNAcentral.
UCCCUUUUUAUAGAGAGAGAAGAAUACAUUAUCUUAAUUAUUGGUAACCGUCAUGAAGAAUCAUAGUCCACGUGUCAUCAUAGGUAGUAGCUAAUUUUUGACAUUAACUUGCAUGCCACAUUUAUCAUAACUAUCAGGAGUUUAUCGUAACUGCCUGGAUUUUAAGGAAAGUGGCAUCGACUCGUGUUUCCCAUGUAACAGCUUGAUUUCUACAUCAAUUUC